GUGCUCACUUCAGGAGCACAUAUAUUAAAAUUGGAAUGAUACAGAGAAGAUUAGCAUGGCCCUUGAGCAAGGAUGACAUGAUAAUUUGUGAAGCAUUCCGUAUUUUG
This is a small nuclear RNA of Nomascus leucogenys (northern white-cheeked gibbon), 107 nucleotides long. The record is from Ensembl. Lineage: Eukaryota; Metazoa; Chordata; Mammalia; Primates; Hylobatidae.